GAUCCUGACUCAGGAUGAACGCUGGCGGCGUGCUUAAUACAUGCAAGUCGAACGAAGCACUUAAGACGGACUUCUUCGGAACGAAGACUUUUGUGACUGAGUGGCGGACGGGUGAGUAACGCGUGGGUAACCUGCCUUGUACAGGGGGAUAACAGUUGGAAACGACUGCUAAUACCGCAUAAGCGCACAGUACCGCAUGGUACGGUGUGAAAAACUCCGGUGGUACAAGAUGGACCCGCGUCUGAUUAG
RNAcentral lists this ribosomal RNA (249 nucleotides) under uncultured bacterium. RNAcentral describes it as "partial 16S ribosomal RNA". It matches the Rfam family "Bacterial small subunit ribosomal RNA", at positions 15 to 244 of the family's 1533-position model. The record is from RNAcentral.